Pogoniulus pusillus (Red-fronted tinkerbird) is the source of this 232-nucleotide long non-coding RNA. RefSeq lists it as uncharacterized. The transcript has 3 exons. The record is from RefSeq and is a predicted model, not a curated record. Lineage: Eukaryota; Metazoa; Chordata; Aves; Piciformes; Lybiidae.
UGGAAGAACUGUUACAUCCUCUAGGAUUUGUGAGCUUACAACAUUGGGUCAGGUUACUUUCCUCUUCUCAUUUAUGCUGCCUGCACACCCUAAGUUGGAAGACAAUCUACAGCCUGUGACCCUGCACUGUAAAGGCCUUGUAUACUUGCUCAAAGCCAAGGAAUCUUCCGACAGCUUCAUCACCAACCUCCAGAUGGGAUAAAAUUACUCCUGAGUCCUGCAAGAAUCAACA